GAAAUGCGAUAAGUAAUGUGAAUUGCAGAAUUCAGUGAAUCAUCGAAUCUUUGAACGCACAUUGCGCCCGGCAGCAAUCUGCCGGGCAUGCCUGUCCGAGCGUCAUUUCUGCCCUCGAGCGCGGUUCGGCCCCUAGCGGGCCGGCCGCCGCCCGGUGUUGGGGCGCUGCGGGCCCUCGUGCCCGCAGGCCCUGAAAUGAAGUGGCGGUCCCGCCGCGGCGCCCCCUGCGUAGUAGUAAAGCACCUCGCAUCGGGUCCCGGCGGAGGCCAGCCGUCGAACCUCUCUUCUGAUGGUUUGACCUCGGAUCAGGUAGGGUUACCCGCUGAACUUAAGC
Molecule: unclassified non-coding RNA, 334 nt
Filed under: plant metagenome
Description: partial contains 5.8S ribosomal RNA, internal transcribed spacer 2, and large subunit ribosomal RNA
Rfam family: 5.8S ribosomal RNA (bases 1-105)
Source: RNAcentral